CCUCUGCAGUCUCUGACUGUUCUUGGGUCUCUGCUGUUGGAGAGAUGGAACCCCACACAGGAGUGAUUGCCCACCCCUGGGGAGGUCACUCAUACUGACAGGAGGUGCUGGUGUUGUACAAAUACCUCUGAUCAAAGCCUAAAAACAAGUUACCAGAAUUUUACUCCUAGCUUUUAAAGGAAACAAUAAAGGAGCACGAUGAUUAUAACAAGACAAAAGGCAGUGAAAGCACCGAAUGGAGUGUGGGCAGCUUCCCUGGCAACAGAAAACAAAGAUGACAUUGAUGCCCAAAUAACCCAUCUCUGCCACACAGAACUUAAUAUCGAUCUCAAAAACAGUGAAGUUGCAACGGCACUGAGCGCAUAGGCAAGGUUUGGCUAGACGUUGAGAGAAGCGGACUAGCGGGAGGAGAGAACCAACG
RNAcentral lists this long non-coding RNA (421 nucleotides) under Urocitellus parryii (Arctic ground squirrel). Its description in RNAcentral is "lncRNA (ENSUPAG00010001774.1)". Lineage: Eukaryota; Metazoa; Chordata; Mammalia; Rodentia; Sciuridae. The record is from RNAcentral.